This 375-nucleotide ribosomal RNA is filed under the name gamma proteobacterium '6.5 MW-15'. Its description in RNAcentral is "bacterial SSU rRNA". It matches the Rfam family "Bacterial small subunit ribosomal RNA", at positions 56 to 445 of the family's 1533-position model. The record is from RNAcentral. Lineage: Bacteria; Pseudomonadati; Pseudomonadota; Gammaproteobacteria.
UGCAAGUCGAGCGGGGUUUUCGGACCUAGCGGCGGACGGGUGAGUAAUGCGUAGGAAGCUGCCCGAUAGAGGGGGAUACCAGUUGGAAACGACUGUUAAUACCGCAUAAUGUCUACGGACCAAAGUGUGGGACCUUCGGGCCACAUGCUAUCGGAUGCGCCUACGUGGGAUUAGCUAGUUGGUGAGGUAAUGGCUCACCAAGGCGACGAUCUCUAGCUGGUUUGAGAGGAUGAUCAGCCACACUGGAACUGAGACACGGUCCAGACUCCUACGGGAGGCAGCAGUGGGGAAUAUUGGACAAUGGGCGCAAGCCUGAUCCAGCCAUGCCGCGUGUGUGAAGAAGGCCUUCGGGUUGUAAAGCACUUUCAGCGACCA